Molecule: ribosomal RNA, 646 nt
Filed under: uncultured fungus
Lineage: Eukaryota; Fungi
Description: eukaryotic LSU rRNA
Rfam family: 5.8S ribosomal RNA (bases 282-436)
Source: RNAcentral
AAGUCGUAACAAGGUUUCCGUAGGUGAACCUGCGGAAGGAUCAUUACCGAGUUAGGGUCUCCUCCGUGAGGCCCGACCUCCCAACCCUGUGUCUAACAAACCUGUACGUGUUGCUUCGGCGGACCGGCAGUCCCCACUGGGACCGUCGCCGGGGGGAAAACGGUCUCACGACCGCCUCCUGGAGAGCGUCCGUCGAUGGCCCAACCAAAACAACUCCCAAACCCAAAAUAUUGUACCUAAAACUUCUGAAUCAGACCUUUUGAUAUACCAAUCAAAAACAAAACUUUCAACAACGGAUCUCUUGGUUCUGGCAUCGAUGAAGAACGCAGCGAAAUGCGAUAAGUAAUGCGAAUUGCAGAAUUUCCGUGAGUCAUCGAAUCUUUGAACGCACAUUGCGCCCUUUGGCAUUCCGAAGGGCAUGCCUGUUCGAGCGUCAUUAUCCUCUCUCAAACCUCGGGUUUGGUGUUGGACCGCGUUGGACCGCUUUACGGCCAACUGGUCUCAAAGACAAUGACGGCGUCCUAGGGACCCUCUUCGCACUGAGCUUUCCGGAGCACGCGUUGAGUUAAGGCCCCCGGGACCCGGUCACCUUCUAAAACUUCUCAAGGUUGACCUCGGAUCAGGUAGGAAUACCCGCUGAACUUAA